CCUGCAAGGGAAGUCUUGUUGGAAAAUAUAUCCCAAAAAGCCAAUCGUCAAGCUGUUGAUGGUUGAAAGUAUUGUAAUUGAUUUGUUAAUAAAUAAAAUAUAUUUGGUAUUUUCAUCAUAAGCUUUCAUCUUCUAAUGAACUCCGUUGUUACGAUGAAGUCCUUAGGACUAUUUAGAUUCGAUAAAUAGAGGAUUUAUCGAUUAGUCCUUAAAACAGUUCACGAUCAAAUGAUAGGCUGUUAAUAAGGACGACAGCUUCUAUCAAGCAUAGGU
RNAcentral lists this long non-coding RNA (273 nucleotides) under Elaeis guineensis (African oil palm). RNAcentral describes it as "long non-coding RNA (EGUI_LNC081506)". Lineage: Eukaryota; Viridiplantae; Streptophyta; Magnoliopsida; Arecales; Arecaceae. The record is from RNAcentral.